This 844-nucleotide unclassified non-coding RNA is filed under the name Bombus terrestris (buff-tailed bumblebee). Its description in RNAcentral is "misc RNA ENSBTSG00005039219.1". The record is from RNAcentral. Lineage: Eukaryota; Metazoa; Arthropoda; Insecta; Hymenoptera; Apidae.
AUAUCAUAAAAAAGUGAAAGAAUGAGGAAACACUUGCAAACAGAACUCGAUCAGGUCGACCAAAGAAAUUGACUGGAAGAGGAGAAAGUUAUCAUUCGCGAAUUAAAAACAAACCCUACUACACCCGUUCCUUAACUCGCAAAGUACCGCGAAAGAAGCCAUAUAUUAAUGCGGUAAAUCAUAAAAAAAGAUUGACUUUUGCAAAAACCUAUAUUAAUAAAGACGAUUCCUUUUGGAACAAAGUCAUCUUUUCGGACAAGUGAAAGUUUAACAUUUUUGGCUCUGAUUGUUAAAAUUAUAUGUGGAGAAACCCAAAUAUGAAAUUGGAAAUUCAACAUUUACAUCGAAGAGUGAAACACGAAGGUGGAUCAGUCAUGGUGUGGGGGUGCAUGGCUGCCAGUGACACUGGAAAUUUGAUAUUUAUUGAUGGAAUACUUGAUAAGUAUAAUCUGAGAGCAAGUAUUGAAAGAUACAAGUUAUAGAAAUAUGGAACUCCGUUGAGUGUAGUUUUACAAAAUCAUUGGUUUACAGUAUGGAGUGUCGAUUGAGACACACUAUUGCUCCUAAAGGUGGUCCAACAAAAUAUUAAUAUUAAAUGAUUUAAUAAUAUAUGUAGUGUCUAAAUGCUUUUGCUAGUCACUUGCAAUGUGUGUUUCUAAUAAAUGUAUAGCAACUCCCACCUACGUUGUCGAAUCCUUUUCAAAUUUUACUGACAUAAUCUUAAGACCUUCAUCUUCCUAUUGACAUCUGCUUGUCUAAGCAAAUUACUCUAAUGUACAUUAUUUAGGUCAUUCAAGUUUGCAUACCAGGUAUGUAAAUAUGAAUUUACAUUUUUGUAUAGAAU